CCAGGCCCUACGGGGUGCAGCAGGCGCGAAACCUCCGCAAUGUGAGAAAUCGCGACGGGGGGAUCCCAAGUGCCAUUCUUAACGGGAUGGCUUUUCAUUAGUGUAAAGAGCUUUUGGAAUAAGAGCUGGGCAAGACCGGUGCCAGCCGCCGCGGUAACACCGGCAGCUCUAGUGGUAGCAGUUUUUAUUGAGCCUAAAGCGUCCGUAGCCGGUUUAAUAAGUCUCUGGUGAAAUCCUGCAGCUUAACUGUGGGAAUUGCUGGAGAUACUAUUAGACUUGAGAUCGGGAGAGGUUAGAGGUACUCCCAGGGUAGAGGUGAAAUUCUGUAAUCCUGGGAGGACCGCCUGUUGCGAAGGCGUCUGACUGGAACGAUUCUGACGGUGAGGGACGGAAGCUAGGGGCGCGAACCGGAUUAGAUACCCGGGUAGUCCUAGCUGUAAACGAUGCGGACUUGGUGUUGGGGUGGCUUUGAGCUGUCCCAGUGCCGAAGGGAAGCUGUUAAGUCCGCCGCCUGGGAAGUACGGUCGCAAGACUGAAACUUAAAGGGAUUGGCGGGGGAGCACCACAACGCGUGGAGCCUGCGGUUUAAUUGGAGUCAACGCCGG
RNAcentral lists this ribosomal RNA (605 nucleotides) under uncultured archaeon. Its description in RNAcentral is "bacterial SSU rRNA". It matches the Rfam family "Archaeal small subunit ribosomal RNA", at positions 316 to 921 of the family's 1478-position model. The record is from RNAcentral.